CGGUUUAGAAGAAUUGUCGAUCGCCGUCCCAAAAAAAGAAAGAAAAUUCACCAAAGAAAAGUUCCGUCUUGAACUCGGCGCCUCCCUCUACAGUCGCAUUUGGUCUUAGCCCCCAAAAUCACAAUCAGAAACCAACUGGCCCAAAUAUUUCAACAUGAAGUCAUUUUGUUUUAAUUGCUUGCAGCUUGAAGCGAAGGAACAAAACAGAUCCAGUGGGUUUUAUAAUAUGCAGACAUUACAUUUAUGAAAAUAUAUAUGUAUGAAUAGAUAACAAAGGAGGCCGGAUCCUUUGGAAGCAUUUGAAGCUCGUAGAUCAAAGUGACUUUUUAACGUUUUUGUGGCUCCGAUUCCACCAACGGACGGCGUUUGUGAUGCGCUACGGUUUCUCCCGAGCGGCCUCGGGCCGUUUCCUCGCGAACGUUGUCGCUGAUGAGGAACGCAGGCGGCUGAAACGCUCAGCUGGUUUCACGUGGCGAGGCGGCUCCAGAUCUCACAGCUUUUCAUUUUCUAAUUUGAAUAAACGCUCAUAUAUAUAUAUAUAUAUAUAUAUAACGGAGAGACAAUUAGCAUGCAAGUGUGCAGCUCAAAACAAAACAAAGUCUAGUUCAGUGUUCGACACACUGUUUGUCUGCACCAAAGAGAAAAGAGAGAAGUCAGAUGAAUUUAGUAUAAUCGCCUCGUAAAAGCGGAGUACAGAGGUAUUUUUAGCUUUUCUUCCUGCCACCGUUUAUCUGUGCUUCAUAAGCCGGAGCAUUUCAUGCAGCUUCUGAAUGAGUCGCACAAUGGGCUCCACUGAACGCACGGAGACAGUCGUAAUCCUUCUUCGUGAAAAAGGAUGUUUGGAUGCUUUUCAGAUAAGAGAGAGACUCUGUGGCUCAUAAUCCCUCUCGUGCACACUUUACAUUGUGGGGGAGGUAUGGAGGUCUUCAUAAAGUAUCACGGUGUUCUUCCAUAUUUACGAUGUAUCCGAAGGACUGAAGGUGAGACGGAAACCGGGAUUCAUCCCUCUGAAGAACGUCUCAGCUGAGCGCGUUGGUUUCGGGCCUCUUUGGUGGGUCAGCCGGCUCUGGAGGUUUUCUGCCCCCUGGCGGAGAAGGUCAAUGUGUAAAAACGCAGCACACUAAGCUAUUGUUCUACAUUGUGAAUUGAACUGACAUUCAUCUGGUAAUGAAAAACGUAGUCACAUAAAACCUUAAACUCUUCUCGCCCCUGAUGAACAUCUGUUUUCAGUUCACUCUUUUAUUGCGCGUAAUUAUAAAUCUACGCACAUCUGAGACACAGCGCCUGCUGCCCGUCAGCGGCACAGUCGUUUCUCCCCCCCUCCCCCCCGACCCGCCUCCCUCCCUCCCGCUCACUCCAACAGGAGCGAAACAGCCGUAAACUGUGAACGAGGUGUAUUAGUGGCCCCCACGUGGAGGGAGAAGUAGGUCGCGCCGCCUUGUCAGAUCGUUUUAAACGCCACGUGGCAACAGGAGAUGAAAAAGGACCACCGCCCAAGCAUUAGUCACCCCCGCAAGCUGCUGCGUUGUGCGCUUUCUUUCCCCCGCUUGGGAACAUGAUGUCGACGAGGCAGUUUAACUGGGGAGACGGCGUUUUUUUUCUUCGUCGUAUCAGGAACACGAUUCCUGGCGGGGGGGGAAGUCGGACAAACCGGGUCGAACAAACACAGGACUUUCCCCCAGGAGGCCGCUGUUGGUGUCCCGCGUGAAGCAUACUCGCUUUAAGGCGUCGACCCACGAACGAACGGAACCGGCUGAGAAGAAGCAGCAGAUUUACCACCUGGGAGAAAACAGGGCCUCAUCCGGAACUAUCCGCAGGCCACCAUUGAUGCUCAAGGGGGCGCUACGCAGUACUAGAACCAAUGGAAUGCAGAUGAACCCCAUUAAAAAUGAACCAUGCGUUCCUUUGUGAAUAGUACACAUCUCACAGAAUGUGUAAAGGCGAGCGUGACGUUACAUCUGUGGUCGGAGAGACUUGCCAUUAACCUUUGAGAGAAAAACCCCUCCAGCCGGACUGCCCACCUUCCUACACACCCACCGAGCAAGGAACAUUUUUACAUGUUUGAACAGCCCUGGGUGGCGUGUUAAGACCAGUGUUUAUUCGAAUAAUGCCCCAGAAAACAGGGACAUUAUUCAACUGGAAACAGUGCAAAUGCAACAUUAAUCCUCCCGUUGUGAAAGGUUAAAAUCAAGUAAAGGCCACAGCUUAAAUACAUAAACAUAGCACAUUAUCACACGGCGGGCGAGGCAGAGUACGGUGGUGAGGAAAAAGGGGAACAAGAGUCAUUAUCACUUGCGUUGCAUUUUUAAUAAUUGAAGUUACGGACUUUUCGGUUCUGGGGUGAAGUAAAGUAAUUGGUUUUGCUGGAAUUCUGGGUUUAAACCUGCUUGAAAGGGGCUAUUUGUGACUGCAAUUAUAAUAAAAGCCUUGUUUUUAUGUAAAGUUGAUUCUCUCGGGUGGCGGUUUUGUCAUUUUGUUGAUGGAUUGCAAUAUAUUGCAGCAUUGAAAAGAAAGUGAGAGAAUUUGAUGGGAUAGUGCAAUCAUCUGUGGAUGAUCUUUGCUCACAUAUAGGCUGAUACAAAACGCAUACUAAGAACAUCCUAACACAUUGUUUACAUCUCAACGGGACUUGAGCGGACGCCGACGUUGAACCCUUGGCGGAAAUGAGAGAUCCUCAUGGCAAACUCAUUAUUGGGAAACCAGCACACACGUCGCACCCUUGAAGGUAUGAAACACAAUCACGAAACAGCGGAGGCAGCCGGUCUGGAGUGUGAGCUGCAGCGGCCGUGAAUCCAUUGAGUUUCAUUAAAUCCAGUUAGCGCUGUUGGACAGCUUGCACAUUAGUAAUUGGAUUUAUUUACGACUCCAGAGCAGAAGGCAGAUGGUCGGACAGCCUGAGGCCGAGAUGCAGCUUCACUGCAGAGGAUUAAUGGAUGACACCCAAAUCAGGGCAAAGUGAGAAAAAUACAAUAGCAAUUGCAUUGCUGAAUAUUCAUAAGGACAGUUGUUCUAUUUGCUUUGGAAUGUACUGCCCAUAGGACAUCGGAAGAAAUUCUCUAAUUGCUUCUUCAUGUCAUCGUCUUAAAUAGAAGCCGGUAUUUGGGACUGAUGAUGAAACGGGAAUAAAGCACAAGCAGAUUGCAGAGCUGGCUUUAGCCCUGGUACAAUAUAGAAAGAUAAAGAGAGGAUAAAGGGGGGUGGGGGGGGUAGGCCUGCAGUGGGACUGUAUUGCAUGAGCUAUCAGUGUGUAAAUGCCACCCCCCCCCUCCAAUAAACCCCCCCCUCCAACCUCACGGGAAGUGUGGUUGAAAACACAUCUGUCAGGGAAUAACAUCCACACCUCUGGUGACUGAGCUGUUAAUUGGACUUGGGGUGUGAGUGUAAGCGACGCAUCAGCAAAUCUCUGGAGCUGCGCCUUGCUUUCUUCUCAGAAGACGGCGGCGUGCGUUAGGAGGAGGAGAAGGAAGAGCAGGAGCAGGAGACGAGCCCUCUGUGAGCUAUUUGUUGCACACGUGGGGGGGGGGGGGUUUGCUCGUGUGAAGGCAGGACGGGCCGACUGUUCCCCAGCCAGAUGCUGGACAUUUAAUCAAACCAGUCGCUGGGUCUGAGGCGUGCAUCCAAAGUCCAAACACGAUUCCCUUCCCAUUGCAUCCAUAACGGGAGUGAGUGCCGCCUGUCGUCCACCGGGACGCGCCGAGCUCCUCCCUCAGGUCGUUAGAUCGCCGCUUUGCCGCGACAGCAGCUCUCACGCGCUGUCACGGCUUUCCACAGGGCCCUCGACUGGGUUCCCUCCCAUUCCACACACACACACACACACACACACACACACACACACACACAUCGCGUGUCUGAUCCCCGGAGGCGUUAAUCCGAGAGUCACAGCUUCCUUUUUUAGCUCUUUGUGUUUUCAUUUGGGACGCGGCCGUGUGAACUGUUGGAGAUCGUUGCUUCCUUCAUCUUUUUGGUGCCUUUAAGAAAGAAGCCACAUCUUCUGCGUCUGACCCCAGGUGACCUCCUGUUGAAGCCCAGUCUGUUUCAGGGCAAUGAGACAAGCAAAGGUUUUAUUCACCUUGAUAUUUUUGAGGAACCGUCUACAGAUCAUCAUUUUUACAUUUUGGGAAGAAAGUCAUACUCUCUUGAAAAUAGGCCGGCAUAUUUGUAUUUUACCUUAACUUUAAAGAAACAACUACCUGGUAGAGACAAUUUGAGUAUGACUUAUUGGCCUUUAAAAUAAAUGGUUUGAUAUUUUGUGCAAGGCCUUUAAAUACAGUAUUUCUCUGGCUUUUAUUGUGAAAGCUUUGCGCUGCCUCCUUUGACAUCUAAUGGAGAAAUGAUUGUUGCCAUCGUGUUUUUGUGCCACGGAGCCUCAGAGUGGUUUCAUAAAUACAGGCACAAUUCAUCUGUCAAUAAGUGGCUUUGCUUCCUGCGCCUUCUUCACCUUCUGUGUUUACACAAGACAAAAACAUCUGGUUUAGAAUAAAAGAAACGUACACUCAGCUUUAUAUAUGGAGCCAGAACCCGGAGGGGGAAUGCCAGUUAAUGUCACAUUUCUAAAUUCUAAAUGUCACAAAUCUAAAUUUGAGAUAAUUAUGGGGGAGAUUUGUAGCCAUGGCAACUUUAACUUGCGUCACCGCCUGCAGACUUCUUCUGUCAUCAGUGGAGUUGAGCUCAUUUGGCGGCGUGGCAUCGGUAUUGAGCUCUUUUGGAGAAAUGUCAUUGGUAUUGAGCUCUUUUGGAGAAAUGUCAUUGGUAUUGAGCGCUUUUGGAGGCGUGUCAUCGGUGUUGAGCUCUUUUGGAGGCGUGUCAUCAGUGUUGAGCUCAUUUGGAGGCGUGUCAUCGGUGUCGCGCUCAUUUGUCAUCGGCGUUGAGCUCAUUUGGAGGCGUGUCAUUGGUGAAAUUGAGCUAAUUUGGAGGCGUGUCGUCAGUGUUGAGCUCAUUUGGAGGCAUGUCAUCAGUCAAGCCUCAAAUGAGCGGAGCUUACGAGCAAUUAAGAAUCUUUCAAGGAAUCUUUCUUUGAUUCCUUCCCAACUCGCCGCUCAAGAUUAAGCGUUGCUUUUUCUGUCAUAGAGCUGUAACACAACAGCACAUCUUGUCAAAUCAGACUAAUCCCUCCUCAGGGCUGCUCCCCUCUGACAAUCCACCUUGAUCACAUAAUGAUCAUCCGCUCUCCAGUGGUGAACGCUGAGGGGGGGGGUACGCUUCCCGCCGCCAAGCCGGCUCGCUGCCAGCGCCACGCUGGGGACGAUUUUUAUGUUGUGUUGUCCUGGAAAUGAAUCAGAUUUUAGAUGACGUUCUCCCAGAAAAAUGAAAUUCUCCAGCCUCAAAAUGUGGCUCGGUGCCGCCGUGCAGAGGAGACGGGGACACUCUGCGUGGUCUUCAGGUCCGCGUGUCCUCCUCGGAGGAGACAAACGUUGCGCUCUUCUUUCUGUUGUUUGGUACAUUAACCAACAGCCCGGGCUUAGAAAUUCCUCUGCAAAAAGACAAAUAUAGACAAUAUUCUCCUUUUGUUCCCUAACGUCACAAAACCUUUUUUCUAGCAUCUCGCCUUUUCUUCCUCACCGAUGCACAAGCCUCUGCGGUCCCACCUUUGAUUGGCCAACAAUCAGCACUAUAUUUCUGUGCCGUCUCGCCCGGCAGACACUUUCGAGGUGUCAUUAUAGACGUAAUUUUCUCCCAACAAAAAGCACUAAAUGAGAGCGUGACAGCAGCUCCCGGUGACCAUUCUGGUUCUCUAAUGGAAGAAGGGAUUCGACUCGGUAUUGAAUUUCAUCACCGGCCUUCAUUUCAACCAACCCUAUAGCAUGAAUAUAAUAUCUUCAUCUGGGGAGUCAAUUGAACAUCGUGUAGAGUUCCAGCAUCUAGAGGGUGCAGACAUUCAUGCAUGUAUCAUGGAUAUCUUUUAUCUCAAGGAAUAUCUCCCUCGUGUCCAAUAGAGACACAUAGUCACAAUAAUCUGGUGUAACGAGUUGGGAACAAUUAGUAUUCAUGAUGCAAUGAGGCAUGAUGUAAAUUCCGGAGAAGCCUCACGGGUCCUCGUUGCAUCUCUUGUACUUCAUUCUAAGUCCAAAGUGUUCAAAGUGUUUGGCUCAAUCUUCUAUUCCACAGGUGUCGCUCCGCAGAGCGCACCAUGGUUUUAAUCCAUGUUUGGAUCCGCUUCGAACAGCCAUUGAACGAAAGCGUAAUAUAAAUGCAGAGCCUGGUUUGGAUCAUAGAGCAAAAAGAAGUCUCCCCAGUUGAAUGGCCGCCGCCUGCGUGAAUCCUCAAUCUGCAGCAACACGGAACCGAGAUCUUCCCGCCGGCUACGAUUGACGCCGAACUCGGCCUCCACCUCCACGGAGCCGCCAAUCAAACACUCGUUACAGGAAGAACCGGAGUACGAGCUGAUGUAAAUGCAAAGAUAAGAAGCACCCGGGAGGCCGGCGGAGACGGAAUGUAAGCGAUGAUAUCGCAGCGGCGAUGAAAAAGCUUCUUGAAGAACCGGAGGAGUCGAUCAUGAACGAUGGAGCGUGACUGACAUCAGUGACACCAUUUUCCUUCUCCCCCCCGAGUCUUUAAAAAGUGACACUCAUCGGCACAAACUAGGGAGGGGGAGACGUUUAAGCUUUGCGCCGUUAUUCGUCCGGUCGACGGCCUUUUGAGCAGUUUUUACUCUUUGCAGCCUUUGUCCAGAGAGAACAAACUUUAUCAGCUCAUAGAGA
Long non-coding RNA from Gasterosteus aculeatus aculeatus (three-spined stickleback), 6698 nucleotides. The record is from Ensembl. Lineage: Eukaryota; Metazoa; Chordata; Actinopteri; Perciformes; Gasterosteidae.